GACGAACGCUGGCGGCGCGCCUAACACAUGCAAGUCGAACGAGAGAUGAAGAGCUUGCUCUUCAGAUCGAGUGGCGAACGGGUGAGUAACGCGUGAGGAACCUGCCUCAAAGAGGGGGACAACAGUUGGAAACGACUGCUAAUACCGCAUAAGCCCACAGCUCGGCAUCGAGCAGAGGGAAAAGGAGCAAUCCGCUUUGAGAUGGCCUCGCGUCCGAUUAGCUAGUUGGUGAGGUAACGGCCCACCAAGGCGACGAUCGGUAGCCGGACUGAGAGGUUGAACGGCCACAUUGGGACUGAGACACGGCCCAGACUCCUACGGGAGGCAGCAGUGGGGAAUAUUGCACAAUGGGGGAAACCCUGAUGCAGCGACGCCGCGUGGAGGAAGAAGGUCUUCGGAUUGUAAAACUCCUGUUGUUGAGGAAGAUAAUGACGGUACUCAACAAGGAAGUGACGGCUAACUACGUGCCAGCAGCC
Molecule: ribosomal RNA, 476 nt
Filed under: uncultured bacterium
Lineage: Bacteria
Description: bacterial SSU rRNA
Rfam family: Bacterial small subunit ribosomal RNA
Source: RNAcentral